This 253-nucleotide ribosomal RNA is filed under the name uncultured bacterium. RNAcentral describes it as "partial 16S ribosomal RNA". It matches the Rfam family "Bacterial small subunit ribosomal RNA", at positions 524 to 776 of the family's 1533-position model. The record is from RNAcentral.
UACGUAGGGCGCAAGCGUUGUCCGGAAUUAUUGGGCGUAAAGAGCUCGUAGGCGGUUUGUCGCGUCUGUCGUGAAAGCUUGGGGCUUAACCCCAAGUCUGCGGUGGAUACGGGCAGACUAGAGGCAGGUAGGGGAGAACGGAAUUCCCGGUGUAGCGGUGAAAUGCGCAGAUAUCGGAAGGAACAUCAGUGGCGAAAGCGGCUUCCUGGACCAGUACCGACGUUCAGGCACGAAAGCGUGGGGAGCAAACAGG